Heterocephalus glaber (naked mole-rat) is the source of this 1448-nucleotide long non-coding RNA. NCBI's taxonomy places the organism in Eukaryota, Metazoa, Chordata, Mammalia, Rodentia, Bathyergidae. The record is from Ensembl.
UGAGAAGUGAAGGAUUUCAUUACAUUUGAUCAUACAAUUUUGUCAGAAAAAAUUACAGUUAAAAAUCAAGACCUGGCUCAUUUUCUCAUCAUUUUAUGAAUUAGCAUGCAGUUAAAUUAUCAAAUAAAUUCUGACUGUAUAAGAGAAAAUAAACUUAAAUUCGUGCAUUUUGGUUUCAUUUACCAAACUGAAUUUCUUGCACCCUUUUCUCUGAAAUUAUGUUUCUAUUUGAGGAAGAUUCACUUCAGGGUGAAUUUGAUUUUGAAAAAGCAUGUGCAUGGCAAUUACUGGAGUUAGGAUCAUGUGCUUGCAUACAGUUUUCAUUGUGCUUGGCUCCGGGAGGCUGGGUUUUGGAUUCCAGUUCCGAUUUUCACUGUGUAAGGAGGGAAAGCUCCCCACCAUCUCUGGGCUGAGGGUUCUUCCGGCUGAUUGGAAGAUGGAGCGAAUGGCAGUCCUAUUCCAGCACAGAACAUACAGCAAGGCAGAGGAAAUUUAUUCUUUUGCUUUUAGGUUUGACUUCUGCUCUGUGUGUGGGGUUUAUGCUUUCUAAUGUUUCCAGAAGAGUUCCCUGAUCAUUUUUCAUUCUACACAAGGUCUAGCAAGAGAGAUGGGCAAUACAUCCAACAAUUGAAAUCGACUGUCCAGAAAACUAAUGGGAAGGAUGGUUGUGAAAUGAUGUGAAACUGGGGAGAAGAGACACCUAGUCUGGACUUAAGCAUUGGAAUGUUUUCGGCAGAGAAGUGGAAUCUAAGAAGAGGCUUAAAGAUGAGCAUGAUUUAGCCAUAUAUGGAGAGAAAAGAAGACACUUCCAAACACAGAACUCAUCUCCUUGUGGUCUAAAAGGAAGAUGAUAGUGUGGAGUAUUCCGAAAACCAAGGAGAAUUCAACCUGGCUAGAUCAUGGAGUUAGUGAGAAGUAUUGAACACUGGAACUAAAGAAUUGGCCAGUAUCUAGUUUUUAAACCUUUUAGAAACUAGGGUGAGAAUUUGGGUGGUAUCUUAUAGUCAAUCAGAAAUCAUUGAAGGGUUUAAAUAAUUGAAGACAUAAAUAGUUGUAAAACUGAUUUGCCAGGCUUUGGAAAAUGUUUGGAAGGCAUCUAGAGUGGAACUGAUGAGAGGAGGGAGGGGUAACCUGGAGCAGAGGUGUGGCCAUGACCAUGGGGAGAGCAUGCAGACUAGAGCUAUACAAAAGAGAUGGUUUCUUCCGGAGCUUUAGUUACAGUAAUUAAUAUCUUGAUGGUGUAAUGUGUAUUCCCUGGAUUGUGUUGGGUAAAACAAAUGCUGGUACUAUUUUGGUUUGGAUAUCAAAUACCACCAAAAGUCUCACAUGAGGAAGUAGGGUCUGGUCAGAAGGGGUGUGUAGUGAGGGUGUGGCUUGGAAGGGUGUAUUCUCAUCUCCAGCUCUUCUCUUUUCUUCUCUCUCUGCUCCCUGGUUGCCAUGUGGUGAAG